This 497-nucleotide ribosomal RNA is filed under the name uncultured bacterium. Its description in RNAcentral is "partial 16S ribosomal RNA". It matches the Rfam family "Bacterial small subunit ribosomal RNA", at positions 28 to 507 of the family's 1533-position model. The record is from RNAcentral.
GAUGAACGCUGGCGGCGUGCCUAAUACAUGCAAGUCGAGCGAACAGACGAGGAGCUUGCUCCUCUGACGUUAGCGGCGGACGGGUGAGUAACACGUGGAUAACCUACCUAUAAGACUGGGAUAACUUCGGGAAACCGGAGCUAAUACCGGAUAAUAUAUUGAACCGCAUGGUUCAAUAGUGAAAGACGGUUUUGCUGUCACUUAUAGAUGGAUCCGCGCCGCAUUAGCUAGUUGGUAAGGUAACGGCUUACCAAGGCAACGAUGCAUAGCCGACCUGAGAGGGUGAUCGGCCACACUGGAACUGAGACACGGUCCAGACUCCUACGGGAGGCAGCAGUAGGGAAUCUUCCGCAAUGGGCGAAAGCCUGACGGAGCAACGCCGCGUGAGUGAUGAAGGUCUUCGGAUCGUAAAACUCUGUUAUUAGGGAAGAACAAAUGUGUAAGUAACUAUGCACGUCUUGACGGUACCUAAUUAGAAAGCCACGGCUAACUACGUG